Molecule: transfer RNA, 77 nt
Filed under: Ruminococcus flavefaciens
Lineage: Bacteria; Bacillati; Bacillota; Clostridia; Eubacteriales; Oscillospiraceae
Description: tRNA_Glu_TTC
Rfam family: tRNA
About the family: Transfer RNA (tRNA) molecules are approximately 80 nucleotides in length. Their secondary structure includes four short double-helical elements and three loops (D, anti-codon, and T loops). Further hydrogen bonds mediate the characteristic L-shaped molecular structure. tRNAs have two regions of fundamental functional importance: the anti-codon, which is responsible for specific mRNA codon recognition, and the 3' end, to which the tRNAs corresponding amino acid is attached (by aminoacyl-tRNA synthetases). tRNAs cope with the degeneracy of the genetic code in two manners: having more than one tRNA (with a specific anti-codon) for a particular amino acid; and 'wobble' base-pairing, i.e. permitting non-standard base-pairing at the 3rd anti-codon position.
Source: RNAcentral
GGCGGAUUCGUCUAACAGAUCAGGACAAGAGGCUUUCAAUCUCUAAAUAGUGGGUUCGAUCCCCCUAUCCGUCACCA